This 455-nucleotide ribosomal RNA is filed under the name Rhododrilus n. sp. 6 TRB-2010. RNAcentral's name for it is "partial 16S ribosomal RNA". It matches the Rfam family "Bacterial large subunit ribosomal RNA", at positions 1859 to 2597 of the family's 2925-position model. The record is from RNAcentral. Lineage: Eukaryota; Metazoa; Annelida; Clitellata; Crassiclitellata; Megascolecidae.
CUGCCCAGUGACAACUGUUUAACGGCCGCGGUAUCCUAACCGUGCAAAGGUAGCAUAAUCACUUGCCUAUUAAUUGUAGGCUAGAAUGAACGGAUAAACGAAAUAAAAACUGUCUCAAUCAGCAAGCUAAAAAUUAACAUCUGCAUGAAGAGAUACAGAUAAAAUCGAAGGACAAGAAGACCCUAUAGAGCUUUAUUUUAAACACAGAUAAUUACUGUAUAAAAAAUUCGGUUGGGGCGACCAAGGACACUAUAAAACACCCUAUAAACAAAAGAUCUAUUAAUCAAAUAACUGACCCUUACUAAGAUCAAAAAAUCAAGCUACCUUAGGGAUAACAGGCUAAUCCUAUUUAAGAGUUCAUAUCUACAAUAGGGCUUGGCACCUCGAUGUUGGCUUAGGGUAUCAAUAUAGCGCAAAAGUUAUAUAAAGAUGGUUUGUUCAACCAGUAAUCCCCU